UACGUAGGGUGCGAGCGUUAAUCGGAAUUACUGGGCGUAAAGCGUGCGCAGGCGGCUUUGCAAGACAGAUGUGAAAUCCCCGGGCUCAACCUGGGAACUGCAUUUGUGACUGUAUAGCUAGAGUACGGUAGAGGGGGAUGGAAUUCCGCGUGUAGCAGUGAAAUGCGUAGAUAUGCGGAGGAACACCAAUGGCGAAGGCAAUCCCCGGGGCCUGUACUGACGCUCAUGCACGAAAGCGUGGGGAGCAAACAGG
RNAcentral lists this ribosomal RNA (253 nucleotides) under uncultured bacterium. Its description in RNAcentral is "partial 16S ribosomal RNA". It matches the Rfam family "Bacterial small subunit ribosomal RNA", at positions 524 to 776 of the family's 1533-position model. The record is from RNAcentral.